Camelus ferus (Wild Bactrian camel) is the source of this 73-nucleotide transfer RNA. It matches the Rfam family "tRNA". From Rfam's summary of the family: Transfer RNA (tRNA) molecules are approximately 80 nucleotides in length. Their secondary structure includes four short double-helical elements and three loops (D, anti-codon, and T loops). Lineage: Eukaryota; Metazoa; Chordata; Mammalia; Artiodactyla; Camelidae. The record is from Rfam.
GAGGGUAUAGCUCAAGUGACAGAGCACGUGCUUAGCACGCACGAGGUCCUGGGUUCAAGCCCCACUACAUCUU